GCGUAAAGCGCACGCAGGCGGUCUGUCAAGUCGGAUGUGAAAUCCCCGGGCUCAACCUGGGAACUGCAUUCGAAACUGGCAGGCUAGAGUCUUGUAGAGGGGGGUAGAAUUCCAGGUGUAGCGGUGAAAUGCGUAGAGAUCUGGAGGAAUACCGGUGGCGAAGGCGGCCCCCUGGACAAAGACUGACGCUCAGGUGCGAAAGCGUGGGGAGCAAACAGGAUUAGAUACCCUGGUAGUCCACGCCGUAAACGAUGUCGACUUUGGAGGUUGUGCCCUUGAGGCGUGGCUUCCGGAGCUAACGCGUUAAGUCGACCGCCUGGGGGAGUACGGCCGCAAGGUUAAAACUCAAAUGAAUUGACGGGGGCCCGCACAAGCGGUGGAGCAUGUGGUUUAAUUCGAUGCAACGCGAAGAACCUUACCUACUCUUGACAUCCAGAGAACUUUCCAGAAGAUGGAUUGGUGCCUUCGGGAACUCUGAGACAGGUGCUGCAUGGCUGUCGUCAGCUCGUGUUGUGAAAUGUUUGGGUUAAGUCCCGCAACGAGCGCAACCCUUAUCCUUUGUUGCCAGCGGUCCGGCCGGGAACUCAAAGGAGACUGCCAUUGAUAAACUGG
Molecule: ribosomal RNA, 612 nt
Filed under: Escherichia coli
Lineage: Bacteria; Pseudomonadati; Pseudomonadota; Gammaproteobacteria; Enterobacterales; Enterobacteriaceae
Description: bacterial SSU rRNA
Rfam family: Bacterial small subunit ribosomal RNA
Source: RNAcentral